Non-coding RNA from Lepisosteus oculatus (spotted gar), 296 nucleotides. The record is from RefSeq and is a predicted model, not a curated record. Lineage: Eukaryota; Metazoa; Chordata; Actinopteri; Semionotiformes; Lepisosteidae.
CAUAGAUGUCCGUUUGUUUAGCUACUGUGCUUGUGCUUCGCGAUACAGACAGCUUUAUCUUUUUUAUUUAUUUUAAAAAAUACCAAAAUACGCGAGUAGUUGGGUACAAGCAAAAAUUCUGCUGCAGUAAGUUCUGUCAGACAUGGGCUUGGAGGGAGACUUGAACUGGAUUUCAGCACUGGAAGAGGAGCUCUCUGAUUUAGAUAUCAGGGAGAACACCUCCUGCACAACAACAGACCAAUCACACCACUGGACCUUAGACCUAUCAGCCAAUCCAUGGGAAGGCAGCACUACUU